This 521-nucleotide ribosomal RNA is filed under the name Micrococcus sp. C36. Its description in RNAcentral is "bacterial SSU rRNA". It matches the Rfam family "Bacterial small subunit ribosomal RNA", at positions 914 to 1432 of the family's 1533-position model. The record is from RNAcentral. Lineage: Bacteria; Bacillati; Actinomycetota; Actinomycetes; Micrococcales; Micrococcaceae.
CGGGGGCCCGCACAAGCGGCGGAGCAUGCGGAUUAAUUCGAUGCAACGCGAAGAACCUUACCAAGGCUUGACAUGUUCUCGAUCGCCGUAGAGAUACGGUUUCCCCUUUGGGGCGGGUUCACAGGUGGUGCAUGGUUGUCGUCAGCUCGUGUCGUGAGAUGUUGGGUUAAGUCCCGCAACGAGCGCAACCCUCGUUCCAUGUUGCCAGCACGUAAUGGUGGGGACUCAUGGGAGACUGCCGGGGUCAACUCGGAGGAAGGUGAGGACGACGUCAAAUCAUCAUGCCCCUUAUGUCUUGGGCUUCACGCAUGCUACAAUGGCCGGUACAAUGGGUUGCGAUACUGUGAGGUGGAGCUAAUCCCAAAAAGCCGGUCUCAGUUCGGAUUGGGGUCUGCAACUCGACCCCAUGAAGUCUGGAGUCGCUAGUAAUCGCAGAUCAGCAACGCUGCGGUGAAUACGUUCCCGGGCCUUGUACACACCGCCCGUCAAGUCACGAAAGUUGGUAACACCCGAAGCCGGUG